UACGAAGGGGGCUAGCGUUGCUCGGAAUUACUGGGCGUAAAGGGCGCGUAGGCGGAUAGUUUAGUCAGAGGUGGAAGCCCAGGGCUCAACCUUGGAACUGCCUUUGAUACUGGCUAUCUUGAGUUCGGGAGAGGUGAGUGGAAUGCCGAGUGUAGAGGUGAAAUUCGUAGAUAUUCGGCGGAACACCAGUGGCGAAGGCGACUCACUGGCCCGAUACUGACGCUGAGGCGCGAAAGCGUGGGGAGCAAACAGG
Molecule: ribosomal RNA, 253 nt
Filed under: uncultured bacterium
Lineage: Bacteria
Description: partial 16S ribosomal RNA
Rfam family: Bacterial small subunit ribosomal RNA
Source: RNAcentral